Molecule: long non-coding RNA, 323 nt
Organism: Chelonia mydas (Green sea turtle)
Lineage: Eukaryota; Metazoa; Chordata; Testudines; Cheloniidae
Exons: 3
Source: RefSeq, a predicted model, not a curated record
CAGAGAAGGACAAAGACACAAACAUCUUGCUUCCCUUUAGAGGGAUACAGAACUUCCUAAGAUACAUCAAAAAUUGGUGAUAACUCCAGUGUUUGGAAACAAGUGCUGCUGGAUGUGCCAGAGAGAAGAAAACUUUCUUUGGAAUAAAAGAAGAAUGCAUAAGGAGCGAGUGAUGUAAUUGCCUUUGUCAACAUGCCAAAAGGGUUCUAUACUGCCUGAAUUUGAGAGCCUCUGAGAAAAGGUGACAGCAAGAGGAAGUGAGCAUUUUCCCUGAUGUCAGUGAGAAGACACAUGCUUAAACACAUGCUUCAGUGUUCAGUUUU